This 230-nucleotide ribosomal RNA is filed under the name Phyllobacterium sp. ISO294_OTU209. RNAcentral's name for it is "partial 16S ribosomal RNA". It matches the Rfam family "Bacterial small subunit ribosomal RNA", at positions 29 to 289 of the family's 1533-position model. Lineage: Bacteria; Pseudomonadati; Pseudomonadota; Alphaproteobacteria; Hyphomicrobiales; Phyllobacteriaceae. The record is from RNAcentral. RNAcentral also lists the same sequence under 5 other names.
ACGAACGCUGGCGGCAGGCUUAACACAUGCAAGUCGAACGCCCCGCAAGGGGAGUGGCAGACGGGUGAGUAACGCGUGGGAAUCUACCCAAUUCUUCGGAACAACUGAGGGAAACUUCAGCUAAUACCGGAUGUGCCCUUCGGGGGAAAGAUUUAUCGGAAUUGGAUGAGCCCGCGUUGGAUUAGCUAGUUGGUGGGGUAAAGGCCUACCAAGGCGACGAUCCAUAGCUG